Molecule: ribosomal RNA, 253 nt
Filed under: uncultured bacterium
Lineage: Bacteria
Description: partial 16S ribosomal RNA
Rfam family: Bacterial small subunit ribosomal RNA
Source: RNAcentral
UACGAAGGGGGCGAGCGUUGUUCGGAAUCACUGGGCGUAAAGGGCUCGUAGGCGGCCAACUAAGUCGGACGUGAAAUCCCUCAGCUUAACUGGGGAACUGCGUCCGAUACUGGAUGGCUUGGAUUUGGGAGAGGGAUGCGGAAUUCCAGGUGUAGCGGUGAAAUGCGUAGAUAUCUGGAGGAACACCGGUGGCGAAGGCGGCAUCCUGGACCAAUAUUGACGCUGAGGAGCGAAAGCUAGGGGAGCAAACGGG